RNAcentral lists this ribosomal RNA (465 nucleotides) under uncultured bacterium. RNAcentral describes it as "partial 16S ribosomal RNA". It matches the Rfam family "Bacterial small subunit ribosomal RNA", at positions 339 to 795 of the family's 1533-position model. The record is from RNAcentral.
CUACGGGGGGCUCCAGUGGGGAAUAUUGGACAAUGGGGGAAACCCUGAUCCAGCAAUGCCGCGUGUGUGAAGAAGGCCUGCGGGUUGUAAAGCACUUUCGGUUGGGAGGACUGCUUCUAGCACUAAUAUUGUUGGAAGUUGACGUUACCUUCAGAAGAAGCACCGGCUAACUCCGUGCCAGCAGCCGCGGUAAUACGGAGGGUGCAAGCGUUAAUCGGAAUUACUGGGCGUAAAGCGCGCGUAGGCGGCUAGAUCAGUCGGGUGUGAAAGCCCCGGGCUUAACCUGGGAACUGCAUCCGAUACUGUCUAGCUUGAGUACAGGAGAGGAGAGUGGAAUUCCACAUGUAGCGGUGAAAUGCGUAGAUAUGUGGAGGAACACCAAUGGCGAAGGCAGCUCUCUGGCCCGAUACUGACGCUGAGGUGCGAACGCGUGGGGAGCAAACAGGAUUAGAUACCCUCGUAGUC